GCCCGCACCCUCCGUGUCCCUGCGCUGCCGCAAGCGCAGCCGGCCCCGCUCGUCGCCCCGGUCCUCACGGCAGUCCAGCCCCCCACCAUCCCUCCGUGCCCACCUCUGCCCCCCACGCUCUUUGCAUGCCCUGACGCUGAGAGCGGCCCAUAUUCCCUUCCCCAAAACACCCAGACGUACUGCCAUACCCGCCGACCGCAGCCAGCCCCUUGUCCCGCGUCCCCAUCCACGCCAUGGCCGGAGCGCCCACCCCAAGUCAGGCGCGGCUACCCCCGGUGCCUUCACUUCCCGGCUACCCUGUGCACCCACCCACAACCCACAUUCGCAGCAGUACCACACCCCGAAUGCCGAGCUCCCAUCCGUACCGAAACCCCGUCCCUUCGCACAGCCAGAGCACCCGUCCUUUCCCGGUGAGGCUGGUGUGAAUCCGUGGGAGCGAAGCAGUGCCAGAGGCUCUUGUUGGGAACAUGUGUGAAAACUUGCCUUACCGCAGCUAAGUGCAUCACGGACAUUUUCUUCAAAAGCAAAUGGGUAUGAGCUGCCCAUUAAUACAUUUAAGCUAAAAAUGAGAUGAUUUUUAAACGUAAGAAAAUCUAUUAUUUGAAAAGUACUUUCAGUAGAGGUAACAGGACAGAAACAAUAAUUACCGUUAGGAUGGAGCUCUUCAUUUCCAAAAAAGAACAAACAUUUCCAAAAAGAGCAAACUGAUGUGGUAGUGUUUGUAACAUGGGACAAGAUCUGAUGGCCAGGAAGUUCCAUCGGUCCUAUGUGGUGUGAUCUAGACUAACCCCAGGUUCUGGGAGCAGAGUUGCUAUAAAGCUCUGACGUGAGUAACAGGACUUUAAGGAAAAAUAGAAAGUGUCCAUCCUUGCUGGUGGCCUGAAGCCACCUGAAAAAACUGGAGGAAAAUCUGUACCAGAUGAGCUCUGAUGUGACUUGAAAAAAAUCUUUAAUCGAGAACAAAAAUCUGUUAGAUCUGCAGACCGUGAUAGCCAAGAACCUGUUGCAGAGGUGGGCAGGAGCUGAGAUGUGUAACAACGCAUUUAUAUGAAAGACAAGAGAACACGAUCACAUGAACAAGGAGAAGAAUUUCAGUGCCUUGGUGAAUGCUUAAUGCCCUGAGGCAUAGGCAUUGUAAACAUACCGAGUAUUGGAGCAAGUGAUAUACAGUGACUUGGAAAAAGAGACAGGCAGAGACACAGAUAAGUGCAAGGCAUUAAUAGAGCUGAUUGCAAGACAUGAGACAAAUAAGUGAUUUUCAGAAGAGUGAGGAAAUAGUUUUGUG
Long non-coding RNA from Chiroxiphia lanceolata (lance-tailed manakin), 1285 nucleotides. RefSeq lists it as uncharacterized. The transcript is spliced from 3 exons. Lineage: Eukaryota; Metazoa; Chordata; Aves; Passeriformes; Pipridae. The record is from RefSeq and is a predicted model, not a curated record.